RNAcentral lists this ribosomal RNA (496 nucleotides) under uncultured bacterium. RNAcentral's name for it is "partial 16S ribosomal RNA". It matches the Rfam family "Bacterial small subunit ribosomal RNA", at positions 28 to 507 of the family's 1533-position model. The record is from RNAcentral.
GAUGAACGCUGGCGGCGUGCCUAAUACAUGCAAGUCGAGCGAACAGACGAGGAGCUUGCUCCUCUGACGUUAGCGGCGGACGGGUGAGUAACACGUGGAUAACCUACCUAUAAGACUGGGAUAACUCGGGAAACCGGAGCUAAUACCGGAUAAUAUAUUGAACCGCAUGGUUCAAUAGUGAAAGACGGUUUUGCUGUCACUUAUAGAUGGAUCCGCGCCGCAUUAGCUAGUUGGUAAGGUAACGGCUUACCAAGGCAACGAUGCGUAGCCGACCUGAGAGGGUGAUCGGCCACACUGGAACUGAGACACGGUCCAGACUCCUACGGUAGGCAGCAGUAGGGAAUCUUCCGCAAUGGGCGAAAGCCUGACGGAGCAACGCCGCGUGAGUGAUGAAGGUCUUCGGAUCGUAAAACUCUGUUAUUAGGGAAGAACAAAUGUGUAAGUAACUAUGCACGUCUUGACGGUACCUAAUCAGAAAGCCACGGCUAACUACGUG